AAGAUGGCGACCGGCGCACGGGUGAGUAACACGUAUCCAACCUGCCGAUAACUCCGGAAUAGCCUUUCGAAAGAAAGAUUAAUACCGGAUAGCAUACGAAUAUCGCAUGAUAUUUUUUUUAAAGAAUUUCGGUUAUCGAUGGGGAUGCGUUCCAUUAGUUUGUUGGCGGGGUAACGGCCCACCAAGACUACGAUGGAUAGGGGUUCUGAGAGGAAGGUCCCCCACAUUGGAACUGAGACACGGUCCAA
This 248-nucleotide ribosomal RNA is filed under the name uncultured bacterium. RNAcentral describes it as "partial 16S ribosomal RNA". It matches the Rfam family "Bacterial small subunit ribosomal RNA", at positions 85 to 334 of the family's 1533-position model. The record is from RNAcentral.